Molecule: transfer RNA, 88 nt
Filed under: Candidatus Saccharibacteria bacterium HGW-Saccharibacteria-1
Lineage: Bacteria; Candidatus Saccharimonadota
Also listed under: 2 other names
Description: tRNA-Leu
Rfam family: tRNA
About the family: Transfer RNA (tRNA) molecules are approximately 80 nucleotides in length. Their secondary structure includes four short double-helical elements and three loops (D, anti-codon, and T loops).
Source: RNAcentral
GCGCGGAUGGUGGAAUUUGGUAGACACGAGAGACUUAAAAUCUCUUGGCCUCACGGUCGUGCGGGUUCAAGUCCCGCUCUGCGCACCA